This is a long non-coding RNA of Lycium ferocissimum, 2500 nucleotides long. RefSeq lists it as uncharacterized. The record is from RefSeq and is a predicted model, not a curated record. The transcript has 3 exons. NCBI's taxonomy places the organism in Eukaryota, Viridiplantae, Streptophyta, Magnoliopsida, Solanales, Solanaceae.
UUGGCUUUAAACAAGAAAUUUCUCUUGUGAUUCGAUUCCUUGAAUUAUCGGAACAAGUUAAAAUAAUUUUUUUUCGAGUUCGAGUUAGUUGUCGCGUUGGUUCGAAAGUGAUCUACUCAACUUUCGUCGCCCCCGUCUCUGCUCGGCAAAAAGUUAAUUUUCUUCCUUGUCUUAGUUUAUUUUUCAUAGUUCAUGAAUCUGUGUAGAUUAGUUUAGUUCUAAUUUUGUUUAAAUUAGAUAGUAAUCUUCUUGCCGUCUUAGUAUUUUUAGUUUUCAUGUAGAUUAAGUUUAGUUUAGUUCUAAUGUUGGUUGAGUUAAGUAAGUAAUAUUUCCCUCCUCUAGCUCGUUUUCUGUUUGAUUCCUAUAAGUAGUAUAAGUUCCUUUAUGUUUUUUUUUUUUUUUAGUUUUCUGGUGUAAUUCUAUUUUAACUUGCUUAACCUUUUAAUGUUGUUAUUUUGCGCUAUAGAAAAUUAUAGUAUUGGAGUACAACAUGAAAGUAUAAAAUUAUCUCUUUAGCUUCAGUUUUGACUCACCUUGUAUGUUCUUACUCUUUGUCUCAUCUGGAUAGUGAUCUUGAUAAAUUUUUCAAAGGGUUAUGGAUCCGUGUUUGUUUGAAUGGUGUGGUUACUGUUAUUUCAAUUCUGCAUUUGCCUUCAGAAAUCUAUUUAUGGGAUUAAUGAGGUCUUUUAAAAACUAUUCUGAUUUUUUUUAAAAAAAAUAAUAACUUUGGUUUCUUCUGAAUUUCUGGGCAGAUUAGUUUAGGAUAAAGUGGAUUCCCUCUUAUUUAUAGUAUAACCCUUGCAUAUUCUCAGAUAUGUUGAGAUGAUUUGUCAUAAAGCAUGCCAUUUUAAUAAGCUUAUGUGGUAAGGUAUUUAGUUAAAAGAGUGUUGUAAAAAAAUCAAUUGUCUUUGCUUGAAGAUUUCAGUAACUUUGUAAAAGAUGACGAACAACUCUAUUUCUGUUUCCUUUUGAGUAUUUAAAUGUUGAAUGAACCAAUUCGAGCAUCUUAGUGUAUUCUCAUUUGCUUGCUCGUACUAUGAAAUUCUCAAAGAGUGUGCUUUGCUUUGAAGAUCAGUGACUUUUUUUUUUCCAGAACUUAGGGGAAUUGGUUUUGGCCCUUUCUUCAGGGAAGUGUUGUGGACUGUUAGGAACCUCCUUGUUAAAGAAAAUCAAAUUUGUGGUCCUACUAGAAUAGGUGGGUAAAUGAGCAUAACUAAGAUUAGAAAGUUUGUCCCUUCUAGUUCAUGUUCAAGCAUUUGUCUUCUAAAAUUGCUAUUUUCCGAGAACAGAAUAUUGAUUUUCAACUUGCCUAAUUGCCCAUUUGCGUUUAACAUUUACAAAUCAGCAACUUGCUAUCUAAGCUAAGUGUACUACAUUGGAGAUUUGGUUUAACUCCUCCCCUUAGAAGUUGCUUUUUAAAGACUGACCAUUUUUUUUAUCCGAGAAUGAAGAGUUCAACAAAUGAAUUGCUUGGGUAAUUCACUGUCUUUGCUGGUUUGCUGUCAUUGUUUGUUCUGUCAUGAGCUGAUUACAUGCUUAAGUUAAAGAUGUCAUGGCUGAUUACAUGCUUAAAUUAAAGAUGUCAUGGGCUCAUUACAUGUUUAAGUGAAAGAUUCGGAUAUAUGUUCAUUAUCCUUCUUAUUUUGAAUAUGCAAAAGAAUGAAGUUUUAAGUUGCUUGAAAUACCUAAGGACAUUUGUUAUGAUGUUAAAUGUCACCAGAUGGUUUUAAAGAGUUAGUAUUAGCCUUGCGUUUUUUGAAACAAUUAGCAAAUGACUAUAUGUAAGCGUACCUUGGAUUGGAUCAAAACAUGUUUUACUUCCCAUGCUUCCUUUUCUAACAGGCCCUAGAUGGUUCAUUCAUCAGUAGGUUGUUUUGAUUAAUAUAGUUGGUAUUUAACUUAAUUAAUAUUAUUAACUAUCAUCUGAUUAAUGUUAAUCAUUCUCCCGUCACAUGCUAAUUUCCUUCUCUCUUCUUUUCCAUGUGUGAAACGAGUACAACGGAUUUAUGCAUUUUCCCACAUUAUGUGUUGGCCUGAGGCCCAUCAUUGCAUUAGAUCGAGUCCAACCGUGGAUAGAAGGCCCAAUAAUGGGUGAAAAUUGUCAAUAUUUACGUUGAUGGGCUUGGUAAUCCCAUUAAUCCAUUUCCGCUCUUUUUCUCAUAAUGUGUAUGUAUGAGUGCUUGUAAAUAUUGAAACCCAUGUAUGUUAGGACUUGGGAAAUUCCGAGUAGAGAUUAGGAGAAAGCUUUUCAAACGAUUUUAUAAAAAACGGACCACGCACCAAGCUAAUAAUCGCGUGAAAUUAAUAAAAAGACUAUGAAAUUCUUUGGCAAAACAAAUCAAAACUGAAACUAUGCAUGUAUGAAUGAACAAAUGAUUUUUAUAUCCUGUUGGUUUCUUGGAAAAGAGCUGGGAAUAAAUAGGCUGUUUUUGGACUAAAUUCGGUUAAACAAAAAAUGUUGCUCCCAUUCAUGAAGGUAAAACCAGUGUUUUAAAAGGCG